UGAGGAAUAUUGGUCAAUGGGCGAGAGCCUGAACCAGCCAAGUAGCGUGCAGGAUGACGGCCCUAUGGGUUGUAAACUGCUUUUAUGUGGGGAUAAAGUGCGUGACGUGUCAUGCAUUGCAGGUACCACAUGAAUAAGGACCGGCCAAUUCCGUGCCAGCAGCCGCGGUAAUACGGAAGGUCCGGGCGUUAUCCGGAUUUAUUGGGUUUAAAGGGAGCGUAGGCUGUCUAUUAAGCGUGUUGUGAAAUUUACCGGCUCAACCGGUGGCUUGCAGCGCGAACUGGUCGACUUGAGUAUGCAGGAAGUAGGCGGAAUUCAUGGUGUAGCGGUGAAAUGCUUAGAUAUCAGGACGAACUCCGAUUGCGCAGGCAGCUUACUGUAGCAUAACUGACGCUGAUGCUCGAAAGGGCGGGUAUCAAACAGG
This 424-nucleotide ribosomal RNA is filed under the name Fusobacteriota bacterium. RNAcentral's name for it is "Fusobacteria bacterium partial 16S ribosomal RNA". It matches the Rfam family "Bacterial small subunit ribosomal RNA", at positions 355 to 776 of the family's 1533-position model. Lineage: Bacteria; Fusobacteriati; Fusobacteriota. The record is from RNAcentral.